RNAcentral lists this ribosomal RNA (544 nucleotides) under uncultured bacterium. Its description in RNAcentral is "bacterial SSU rRNA". It matches the Rfam family "Bacterial small subunit ribosomal RNA", at positions 775 to 1316 of the family's 1533-position model. The record is from RNAcentral.
AGUAAAUAGAUACCCGGGUAGUCCACGCCGUAAACGAUGAAUACUAGGUGUAGGAGGUAUCGACUCCUUCUGUGCCGCAGUUAAACACAAUAAGUAUUCCGCCUGGGGAGUACGGUCGCAAGAUUAAAACUCAAAGGAAUUGACGGGGGCCCGCACAAGCAGCGGAGCAUGUGGUUUAAAUUCGAAGCAACGCGAAGAACCUUACCUAGACUUGACAUCUUCUGCAUUAAUCGUAAUGGAUGAAAUCCCUUCGGGGACAGAAUGACAGGUGGUGCAUGGUUGUCGUCAGCUCGUGUCGUGAGAUGUUGGAUUAAGUCCCGCAACGAGCGCAACCCCUAUUAUUAGUUGCUAACAUUAAGUUGAGCACUCUAGUGAGACUGCCCGGGUUAACCGGGAGGAAGGUGGGGAUGACGUCAAAUCAUCAUGCCCCUUAUGUCUAGGGCUACACACGUGCUACAAUGGUGGGAACAAAGAGAUGCAAUACCGCGAGGUGGAGCUAAACUCAAAACCCCAUCCCAGUUCGGAUUGUAGGCUGAAACUCGCC